Molecule: ribosomal RNA, 361 nt
Filed under: uncultured bacterium
Lineage: Bacteria
Description: bacterial SSU rRNA
Rfam family: Bacterial small subunit ribosomal RNA
Source: RNAcentral
AGAGUUUGAUCCUGGCACAGGAUGAACGCUAGCUACAGGCUUAACACAUGCAAGUCGAGGGGAAACGAUAUUGGAAGCUUGCUUCCGAUAGGCGUCGACCGGCGUACGGGUGAGUAACGCGUAUCCAACCUGCCCACCACUUGGGGAUAACCUUGCGAAAGUAAGACUAAUACCCAAUGACGUCUCUAGAAGACAUCUGAAAGAGAUUAAAGAUUUAUCGGUGAUGGAUGGGGAUGCGUCUGAUUAGCUUGUUGGCGGGGUAACGGCCCACCAAGGCGACGAUAAAAACAGUAGGGGUUCUGAGAGGAAGGCCCCCCACAUUGGAACUGAGACACGGUCCAAACUCCUACGGGAGGCAGCA